UGGGUUUUAGGUUAAAUAAACCUUCAGCCUUCAAAGCUGAUAAUAAAAGAACCAAAUCUUUUAAACCUAA
This 70-nucleotide transfer RNA is filed under the name Ophiarachnella infernalis. RNAcentral's name for it is "tRNA-Trp". It matches the Rfam family "tRNA". From Rfam's summary of the family: Transfer RNA (tRNA) molecules are approximately 80 nucleotides in length. Their secondary structure includes four short double-helical elements and three loops (D, anti-codon, and T loops). Further hydrogen bonds mediate the characteristic L-shaped molecular structure. tRNAs have two regions of fundamental functional importance: the anti-codon, which is responsible for specific mRNA codon recognition, and the 3' end, to which the tRNAs corresponding amino acid is attached (by aminoacyl-tRNA synthetases). tRNAs cope with the degeneracy of the genetic code in two manners: having more than one tRNA (with a specific anti-codon) for a particular amino acid; and 'wobble' base-pairing, i.e. permitting non-standard base-pairing at the 3rd anti-codon position. The record is from RNAcentral. Lineage: Eukaryota; Metazoa; Echinodermata; Ophiuroidea; Amphilepidida; Ophiodermatidae.